RNAcentral lists this long non-coding RNA (720 nucleotides) under Salvia miltiorrhiza (redroot sage). RNAcentral describes it as "long non-coding RNA (SMIL_LNC002766)". The record is from RNAcentral. Lineage: Eukaryota; Viridiplantae; Streptophyta; Magnoliopsida; Lamiales; Lamiaceae.
CCAUGAUCUUUCACCUACAGAGAUUGAAGAAACAACAAUAGUUAAUCUAUUUCAGCCAUUCCAGCUCAGUGAUACCUCAACAAUCAAGAAGCAAGAGGGAGCAUUUGUUCACUCUCCGGCAGAAACUUUCAAGUUAUUACAGAUUCCAGUUCACUUAAUUCAACAGCAACCAACCAAGCGAAACAUUCAACCAAGCAAAACACUCAAGGUAUUAUAGUAUGCCAUUCCUUCAAUGCACCCACAUCCAUACCAACAGCAUAUCAGUUUCAAAUGAUAGAUGACCAUAAGCUUGAUAAACUUAGCAAAGUUACAUACUCUAUAAAAAUUAGCAUCAGAUAAUUUCCUGUUGUAUUCAUGUCUAUAGAACUCAUAGCAACCCACAUAUGCGAAUGAUGAUUUAUGGCAUUUCACGGCAGUAGUAUGAUUCAUACAUUGAGAUAUUACCACUGCACAUAGAACCAAAGCCAUGAGAACCCCCACCCCCUUAACAACUAGAAGCUGAAGUAUAAGGGAGUAGAACUUAGCUUUUAGAAAAGAGGGGCGCUGCCCUGCUUAGUCAGGCCGAGAAACGACGUCUGGGCGGCGACUCGCGGGGACAGCAGCGUCGACGGCGUCGAGCGGUGAAGGGCAGGCGACUCCUGACCUCGGCGAUGGCCCUCGCCGAUUCUGGAGUAGCAGCAUUCAGCGACGUACCUUUUACCCGAAUCCAGCAGCAGCGUG